RNAcentral lists this ribosomal RNA (790 nucleotides) under uncultured bacterium. RNAcentral describes it as "bacterial SSU rRNA". It matches the Rfam family "Bacterial small subunit ribosomal RNA", at positions 1 to 789 of the family's 1533-position model. The record is from RNAcentral.
UAGAGUUUGAUCCUGGCUCAGGAUGAACGCUGGCGGCGUGCCUAACACAUGCAAGUCGAACGGGGCCGCGUAAGGCCCGGGGAAGGUUUACCGGACCCGGGGCGGACGCGGCCUAGUGGCGGACGGGUGAGUAACGCGUGGGCAAUCUGCCCCGUACCGGGGGAUAACACCUGGAAACAGGUGCUAACACCGCAUGACAGGCGGGGGCGCAUGCCCCGGCCUUGAAAACUCCGGUGGUACGGGAUGAGCCCGCGUCCGAUUAGCCAGUUGGCGGGGUAACGGCCCACCAAAGCGACGAUCGGUAGCCGGCCUGAGAGGGUGGACGGCCACAUUGGGACUGAGACACGGCCCAAACUCCUACGGGAGGCAGCAGUGGGGAAUAUUGCACAAUGGGGGAAACCCUGAUGCAGCGACGCCGCGUGAGUGAAGAAGCGCCUCGGCGCGUAAAGCUCUGUCAGCAGGAACGAUAAUGACGGUACCUGAAGAAGAAGCCCCGGCUAACUACGUGCCAGCAGCCGCGGUAAUACGUAGGGGGCAAGCGUUAUCCGGAUUUACUGGGUGUAAAGGGAGCGUAGACGGCGGGGCAAGUCUGGAGUGAAAGGCCGGGGCCCAACCCCGGGACCGCUCUGGAAACUGCCCGGCUGGAGUGCGGGAGAGGUAAGCGGAAUUCCUAGUGUAGCGGUGAAAUGCGUAGAUAUUAGGAGGAACACCAGCGGCGAAGGCGGCUUACUGGACCGUGACUGACGUUGAGGCUCGAAAGCGUGGGGAGCAAACAGGAUUAGAUACCCUG